RNAcentral lists this ribosomal RNA (578 nucleotides) under Exidia truncata. RNAcentral's name for it is "eukaryotic LSU rRNA". It matches the Rfam family "Eukaryotic large subunit ribosomal RNA", at positions 77 to 639 of the family's 3401-position model. Lineage: Eukaryota; Fungi; Basidiomycota; Agaricomycetes; Auriculariales; Exidiaceae. The record is from RNAcentral.
CCCCUAGUAACGGCGAGUGAAGCGGGAAGAGCUCAAAUUUGAAAUCUGGCGGUCUAAGGCCGUCCGAGUUGUAAUCUAUAGAGGUGUUUUCCGUGCCGGACCGUGUACAAGUCCCUUGGAACAGGGCGUCAUAGAGGGUGAGAAUCCCGUCCAUGACACGGACUACCGAAGUGCUCUGUGAUACACCUUCAAAGAGUCGAGUUGUUUGGGAAUGCAGCUCAAAACGGGUGGUAAAUUCCAUCUAAAGCUAAAUACAGGCGAGAGACCGAUAGCGAACAAGUACCGUGAGGGAAAGAUGAAAAGAACUUUGGAAAGAGAGUUAAACAGUACGUGAAAUUGUUGAAAGGGAAACGCUUGAAGUCAGUCGCGUCUUCCAGGACUCAGCCUUGCUUCUGCUCGGUGUACUUCCUGGCGGAUGGGCCAGCAUCGAUUUUGAUCGCCGGAAAAGGGCGGGAGGAAUGUGGCAGCUUGCUGUGUUAUAGCCUCCCGUCGUACACGGUGGUUGGGAUCGAGGACUGCAGCACGCCUUUGGUCGGGGUUCGCCCACGCCACGUGCUUAGGAUGCUGGCGUAAUGGCU